This 23-nucleotide small nuclear RNA is filed under the name Arabidopsis thaliana (thale cress). RNAcentral describes it as "snRNA_02831". Lineage: Eukaryota; Viridiplantae; Streptophyta; Magnoliopsida; Brassicales; Brassicaceae. The record is from RNAcentral.
AUAACAGUGAAUAAUGAUAACGA